CAUGCAGAAGGACUUAUCCAAAGAUGUUCAUCACAAGGAUCAUUACUGCGGGACAUUCGCAGAUGAAUGGGAUAAAGCUGCAGCAGAUGUUAGUCUUCCAAUCAGACCUUGAAAGCAGUCGCAUGUCUGUAGGUAAUGCGUAGCCUAAUGCAGUGGCUGUGAGCAGGAAGCCAAGCUGUAAAGGAGAGUGUAACACAUGCCAUCUUCAGGUCUUUUUAGCUGCGCAAGUGAACAGUUACCUGUCAUGCUUCAUUAGAUCAUUGGUCUUUUUCCUAGCUGAUCUGAAACACAAGUAGUUCAAUUAUGGCUUUUUUCUCAUAUAUCACUUUGAUUGCUUAACAGCUUUGUUAUUUGGCUUAGUAAUUUAUGAGAUUUUCUCCCAUUGUCUAAUUGUAGCCGUGCAAAAAGAUACCAGCAGUUGUUGCAAGAGGCGUAUUCAUCUUAAUGUUUGCCAUACCUGUUUUCCUUUCCUUCUUGGAAGAAGAUUGCAUGAACUAGUCCGUGGACCAUUUUCAGCUCCAGCCUGAUCCAAAACAAUAACAGCUUGCACAAAGAAUACAUCUGUGUUCAAAAAAAGGAAAAUGUACAAUUGGUUAAAUACCAUGGACUUUUGCAACCAUUAAAAGCAACAAAUAGUCACUUC
Long non-coding RNA from Protopterus annectens (West African lungfish), 643 nucleotides. RefSeq lists it as uncharacterized. The transcript is spliced from 2 exons. NCBI's taxonomy places the organism in Eukaryota, Metazoa, Chordata, Ceratodontiformes, Protopteridae. The record is from RefSeq and is a predicted model, not a curated record.